UUUUUUUUUUGAGACAGUGUCUUGCUCUGUCACUAGGCUGGAGUGCAGUGACAUAAUCAUAGCUCACUGCAACCUCCAACUUGAGGGGCUCGAGAUCCUCCCACCUCAACCUCCCAAGUAGUUAGGACUAUAGGCAUGCAACACUGUACCUGGCUAAUUUUUAAAUUUUUUUGCAGAGAGAGGGUCUCACUAUAAUGCCCAGGCUGGUCUCAAACUCCUGGCCUGAAACAAUCCUCCUGCCUUAGCCUCCCAAAGUGCUGGAAUUACAAGCAUGAGCCACCAUGCCUGAUUUAUUCAUACAACUUCUUGGAUCCUCAUUUUUAUCAUUUCUAAAACAAAGAUAACAUCUCUCUUACAAGAUUACAAGAUUGGGAGAACUGCUUAAGAUGAAUAAGAAAAACUGAAGAACACUUAGCACAGAGUGGAUUCUCACCAUAUAUCAAGCCUAUAUUGCAUGCUGCCUGAAUACAUGGGUUUAUGCUAUGGAAGUCCUGAUGGCAAACCCUCAUAUCAAAGGCUUCCCUCCUUGCUUCUCCCUACAUCCAGUAGGGAGAGCAGCUGUAUCCCUGGCUACCUUUGAGAGGCCUCCACUGCCUCUAGGGUGGUACUGGGUGCUCCAUUACACCUUUAUCCCUGAGGCUCAUUCCAAGGACAAGGGCUGAAAGCUAGAGGCUCAUUUCCAAGGACAAGGGCUGAAAGCUAGGAAACCGACUCAUCUUCAUUCUCAAUGCCAUUCUCAAGGUGGAGCAUUUUCUGCUGGGCCAACACUCACAAUUUUUUUUUUUUUUUUUAGACACAGUCUUGCUGUGUCAGCCAGGAUGGAGUGCAUCAUUCAAUAAACAUCAGUGGUCCCUUCCCCUUGGCAACUCCUCUUCUUAAAAAGGACAAGACACAGGGGUUGGGGAUGGAGAGCUCUGCGGAUGGUGGUGGGGAAAUGAAAGGAAGACUCCAGUGAUUCCUCAAAUGCCAGCUGUUUAUCAAGUUUGAUGGUUAUGAUGGAUUUUCCAGAAAUAAAAGCUACCUUGCUCCAAUAGGUCUACCUGUGAGCAACUGAGAUGGGGAGGAAUGGGGAGGAGCGCUGAGCAUAGUCUCAUGAACGGUAUGAUUCAGGUCUCGAUAGACAAUGUUCUUUGGAGCAGCACCAACGUUGUGUACUGGGCAGGCACUCUGCCAGCUCCCCAGCCUGUUCUGUCCAAUCCUGGCGUCUUGGAGCUGGGGUGGAAGAAUUUUCCCUGAAGGAAAGCAGCCAACACCCUGUCCCACCCUUCUCCGUGGGCAACUCUUUGCCAGGCAGGAAUCUCUCAUCAGGGUUUUCUUUUGGCUGUCAGAUCACCAGCAGUUACGGGCUUAAGCCCCUGUCACCAUGCCUCUCCCAGAACCUGCAGAGAGCAGCAGCUGGGACUCUGCAGGACCACCUUCCUUUUUCCAGCUAGGAAUGCAUUUGGAAAACCCCAAAACUUCUCCUCUCAGCCAGAGUCCAGAAAAGUCAGCUCCUUGUCUUGGCACAUUCAGUGCAGAGUCAAACGUGGAAAGGGUCCUAGAUGGGGCGGGGUCGACUUCCAGGUCCCACAUUUGCAGGGGAAGCUAAUCCCCCUGGAUUAGGCUGGGAGGUGCUUGGGGCUGGUUGCCAGAUAAAGGACGGGGGGCUCGUUUUUUCUUUUUUUGAGACAGAGUUUUGCUCUUUUUGCCCAGGCUGGAGUGCAAUGGCGCCAUCUCGGCUCACUGCAACCUCCGCCUCCCAGGUUCAAGCAAUUUUCCUGACUCAGCCUCCCAAGUAGCUGGGAUUACAGCCGCCCGCCACCACGCCCGGCUAAUUUUUGUAUUUUCAGUAGAGACGGGGUUCCAACACGUUGGCUAGGCUGGUCUAGAACUCCUGACCUCAGGUGAUCCACUCGCCUUGGCCUCCAAAAGCGCUGGGAUGACGGGCGUGAGCCACUGCGCCUGGCCCGGGACGUCGUUUUCAACUUCAGAUUAAUAAUUUUUUAGUAUAUGUCCCAACAAUUGCACAAGAUAUGAGUAUAGUCAUAAAAAAAUUUGCUGUUUAUAUGAAAUUCAAUUUUAACUGGCCGUCUUUUUCUUUGCUAAGUCUGGAACCCAGGGUUUGGCCUGGGGUAGCCCCCGCAGCAGGCAGGGCUGUUGGAGGGGUCACGAACCCGCUUGGAAGUCCCGCGCCAUCACCGUCGCCCCUCCCGGCCGAGGGAAGGGUCCUGGAAAGCGCGAAGGGCGGCCAAAGCCCGGAUAAGGCCUAAGGGGCCGCAUUUCGCCGCUACCGUGGGAAACUGUCUUCGAGAGGAGGGAGCAGUCGUGGCCUGGCCUCAUUCCCGCUUGCCUCCAGCCUCUGCCGCCUCUCGUGGGCUCUUCCCCGCCCAGAACCGCCCACCUGCGGGCCCACUAGCACCAGCUGCGCUCACAGGCUCUACCCGGCUCGCGGCGGCGGCUCC
This is a long non-coding RNA of Macaca fascicularis (crab-eating macaque), 2441 nucleotides long. NCBI's taxonomy places the organism in Eukaryota, Metazoa, Chordata, Mammalia, Primates, Cercopithecidae. The record is from Ensembl.